CUCUGGAGCUCCAGCGGGAUCACUCUCACCUGAGGUGAAGGAGGAGGAGGUCAAGUCUUAAUGCACACAACAGAAUACAUGGAGCAUGUGUGUGGCUUCACUUUCAGUGGACAGUAGGUUUGUCUUUGUCUUCCAGGCAUCCUAAUUCUUCUGGCCCCAAACUGAAAAGCUCCUCUGCGAGGUGAUGAUGUCCUGGAAGCGGACGAAGAUCUGUCCUUUCAUGUCCAGUUCGUAGAUGGUGGAGUUGAUAGCAUAUCGACUGGGUUCAUUACCAUGGAGUCUGUGUCCGUUAGCAACGACAAGGAAGACUCUGCU
Long non-coding RNA from Cynoglossus semilaevis (tongue sole), 315 nucleotides. RefSeq lists it as uncharacterized. The record is from RefSeq and is a predicted model, not a curated record. NCBI's taxonomy places the organism in Eukaryota, Metazoa, Chordata, Actinopteri, Pleuronectiformes, Cynoglossidae. The transcript has 3 exons.